ACUUGGAGCAAGAGCUUCUUCUUGGUUGUAUUUAUUUUGUAUAGCCAAGGGCUUAAUUGUAUUGAGUUAGACUCAUUUUGUUGUAACCAAGCAGUGACUUGGAAAUAUGUAAGCCUUUAAGGCAUAUGAAUAUCUGUAUAACUUUCAGUUCUUAUUCCUACUUGUUAUACAUGCUACAAAUUCAGGAUGAACAAUUUAGGAAUGUGUAAUGCAUGUGUCAUCUUUUGUAUAUAACUCUAAUGAAUGUAAGAUUACUAUUUUGUUUAUGUCAUUGUGUAUAUGUUACUGGGAACCAAUCUAUGACAUUUAUUUCGGGGUGUGACAUCAUAAUUGGAGGAAGAGGAGUAUUUCUUCGAGCUUCCAUAUUGGGAGCAUAAUUUAAUUCGCCACAAUAUUGAUGUAAUGCACAUUAAGAAGAACAUAUGUGAUAAUGUAUUGUGAACGAUAUUAAAUGUUGAUGGGAAAGGAAAGGACAAUUUAAAUGCUCGUCGAGACAUGCAAGAUAUGGGAAUUCAGAAGGCAUUACAUCCUGAAAAAGGGGUUGGAAAUAGGUAUUAUUUGCCACAUGCAUGUUUUGCUAUGAACAAUAGAGAGAGAGCUUUGUUUUGUACACUCCUGAAGAAUAUCAAAGUUUCAGAUGGGUAUGCAUCCAAUAUUUCUCAUUGUGUUAACCUCAAACAACAUAGCAUAUCUGGACUGAAAAGUCAUGACAACCAUAUAUUGAUGCAACAAAUACUUCCAAUAGCAGUGAGAAAUUUGUUACCAAAGAAAGUUGUUGAACCAUUGAUUGAGUUAAGCAAUUUCUUCAAGCAGUUGUGCUCCAAAACUCUAGAGCCAGCUGGGUUAGAUCGUCUUCAAUCCCAAAUUGCUCGUACACUUUGCCAUCUUGAGAGAAAUUUUCCUUCAUCCUUUUUCAAUAUAAUAGAGCACUUGCCUAUUCACCUAGUAAAGGAGGCUAAAGAUUGCCACUGCCAGUCUAGUGCAAUAUCACUGGAUGUACUUUAUAGAAAGGUGUGCAAUUCUACUUCAAUUUACAUUUGUAUUCAUUUGUUUGUUUAUAAUUGAAAGUCAUGUGUGCAUUUGUUUGUUUAUAGGUAUCUUAUGACACUUAGGUCAUAUAUGCAUAAUCGAAGUCAUCCAGAAGGUUCAAUUGCGGAGGGAUACUUAGUUGAAGAGUGUAUGACCUUUUGCUCAAGGUACUUGGAUUAUGUUGAGUCAAAAUUGAAUCGACCAAUAAGGAAUUAUGAUGUUAGCGACAAUCCUGGGAUAUUGCUAGGUCAUGCUUUAGGAAAAGGAAAAGGGUUUGCGCUUAAUAACACAUCAUAGGUACAAGCUUAUCGGUAUGUGUUAUUUAACACUGCUGCGGUUGUCCCAUAUCGAGAGUAAGAUACACAUCUUUGUUCCAAUAUUUUAUUGAUACCAUUAAUAAGUAUCUUGCAUUUUAUAAGUACUUUAAAUGUGUAGGGAGCAUCAUGAUUUUAUUAAGCGGUCACAUCGUCGUCUCAAAGAUUUUGAUGUGGAUCGCCAUGACAAUGACAAGUUUCCUAGAUAGUUUAAUUCUCAUGUAAGUACUAAUAACUUACAUGUUUCUAAUUUUCAAUUCUCAUGUUUUCAAUUUUUAAUUCUUUGUUAAUUGAUGUUUAAUUUUGUUAACUUUUUAAAAAUAAGUUUAAGAGCUUCUAGCUAUUGAAAAUACUGUGUUGUCAGAUGAGAUUAAAAACUUUGGCAUUAGGACCUAGUAAAAAGGCCACGAGAUUCAGUGGGUAUAUAAUUAAUGGUACUACGUAUCAUACGAGGAGUCGUGAGUGGGGAAGAAAAACUCAAAAUAGUGGGGUUAUGGUGAAAGCAAAGACUUGUAGCUAUGCAAGUACCAAGGACAUGAAUCUUGUGGAAGGUGAAGCAGCAUACUAUGGGUAUGUCACAGAUAUUAUUGAAUUUUAUUACUCAUACGACCAUACAUAUGUGUUAUUCAUGUGUGACUGGAUUGACAACAACAAAGGAUUGAAGCAAGAUGGGUUUGGUUUCACACUUGUUAAUUUCAUACAAAGAAACAAAAUAGUGAUGAGUCAUUCAUCCUAGCAUCUCAAGCACAACAAGUCUUCUAUGUUAAUAAUCCCGUUGGAGCUGAAUGGGAUGUUGUAGUCAAGAUGAAACCUAGAGAUUUCUAUGAGGUGUGUGGAGAACAACCAACUAAUGAUGGAGUACAUCACAAUGAAGUGGAAGGACCAAGAGUUAGAUGCAACUUCAUUUGCUUGUGAAGAGGACAUAAAUUGGGUUAGGCAACAUGAAUUUGGAACAAAUAUUGAUGAAACUAUUGGACCUCUUGGGAUAUUGACACAGACACAAUCUGAAGAUGAUGAAGAAAUGAUAUGUAUUGUAAUAUUGUGUCAUAUUCACUGUUACAUUUGUGCUUUCAGUAUGGAUAUUCAUGUUAAUGAAACCUUUGCUUUUACAAUGCGUCAUUUGUUUGCUUUGUUAAUAAAAUCUUUGUUUUUGUAUUCACUAUUGUAUCUAUUGUACUUUAUAUUCAUUGUUAACUCAUAAAAUUCUACACUUAUGCUUGUGGUCUUCUAUAAACUAGCAUGACAGAUCGACAAUGCUCUAGGCAGAGUUCUUAUAGUGGGAGUUCAAAUAAGAGUUCUUAUAGUGAGAGUUCAAAGGAGAGUACAUGCAUCAUACCUGAUCCACCCAUGUCAUGGUAUCCUCCAGGUAGCUUGCCUAGUACAUCAUCGAGUACUGGUUUAGCACAUGACACUACACCCAGUAUGAAUUAUUGUAUUCAACUGCAUUAAUUCUAUUAGAUUUCUCUAUUUAUGUUUUUUUUUCUUUUAAUGUUUUAUCAUUCUCUGUAGUAUGUUCUAACUUGAUAUUGAUAUUGGAUGAGUAGGUCGUAGUUUGAGAGGCCCAACACUCAUGCAUGGUAGUGAUUGGAACCCAAGUGGUGGCAUUUGCAUAUUGUGCCUAAUGAGUUGAACCAUGUGGUUGACGGGUACACACCCUUGCUUCUCAUUUGGGUGUUUUAGCUCGAGAUGGGAACCUUAUGCCCCUUACUUAUAGAACUUGGAGCCAUGUAACGAAGGAAAAUAAAGAGAGAAUUUGGAGAGAAGUAAAGGUUAAUACAAAUGCUGACAAGUUGAUGUAGAAGUUUAUUUUGGCAUUUGUUGGAAAAGAAUGGAGAGAGUAGAAGGCUAGAGUUAAAAAAAAAUGGGGUAUACGCCAUUCAACAAUGAUGUUGAUAGGUUAACUCAUCGAACCCGAAAGAGUACAUGAACAUCAAUAGCGGAACUUGGUCUAUUACUGGGGCACUCAGAAGGCAUAGG
This is a non-coding RNA of Camellia sinensis, 3320 nucleotides long. Lineage: Eukaryota; Viridiplantae; Streptophyta; Magnoliopsida; Ericales; Theaceae. The record is from RefSeq and is a predicted model, not a curated record.